UUUUAAAGAUGAGAGCAGGACUCUUUCACAGGGACUGAAAGUCUGACAGGACAUUGGGAAGAUGACACCAGUGUAUCUUCAGUCCCUAGAGUCUUGUACAGGCAAGUGCAACUCCCCUUCCAACAAAGAGGCCAUCGCAAAAACCAGCCCGUAACCCACACCACCUCCCCAGCGUUUACGGCUCAAGGAGCAGCAUGAAGAGGGAUGGAAAGGCUGUAAGAGCCAGGACCUCCAAAAGUCUGCUCUGAAACGCUCUCCCAGAGACGGCUGCACACACAAGACCAGAACAAGGGCAAUUUCAAUGGCUAUGGUAACCUGCAGCAGGGAAGAAACCGUGGGAUCCCAUCCCUAGGUGAAGAACUACAGGGACUACUCGAUCCUGGGGGAAAGAGAAUUCGUCUCUUCCAGGAGUGAGCUCAUGUACUGCUGCCAGUGCUGAGUGCCCAGGCCUGAAGCCACAGACACACAAACAACAAAGCUGGACUCAGCACAGUGCUAUACAUCCGAUCCACACGCAUAUAUACGGUAUUUAACACAGCAACCAAAGAAAGAAAGGCUGCAACUCUCCCUCUCAAGGAAGACACCUGAGGGUCUGGAAGUACAAAAAACUUUAUUGUUGCUGUUGUCAGAGGUCACACAGAAGAUCUCAGCAUAUGAACCUAUGUUCCAAAGAGGAUGGCACGGCAGAGCACCGGGAAGCUGGGCGACACCUCACGGUAAGAGGACGUGUUUCAGUCACUCGAUGCUCAGCCAAUACAGAGAAGCAAGGGAAAGCAGCAAACUGAAAUAUCGUAAAGCAAAUGCUAUUAAAAGUGUGCUGUGCCAUUAGAGCCCUAACUGUAAUACAAUU
Molecule: RNA transcript, 850 nt
Organism: Rattus norvegicus (Norway rat)
Lineage: Eukaryota; Metazoa; Chordata; Mammalia; Rodentia; Muridae
Gene name: hornerin-like
Source: RefSeq, a predicted model, not a curated record